This 434-nucleotide ribosomal RNA is filed under the name Aureobasidium pullulans. RNAcentral's name for it is "partial large subunit ribosomal RNA". It matches the Rfam family "Eukaryotic large subunit ribosomal RNA", at positions 132 to 571 of the family's 3401-position model. The record is from RNAcentral. Lineage: Eukaryota; Fungi; Ascomycota; Dothideomycetes; Dothideales; Saccotheciaceae.
UCGGGUUCGCAUUGUAAUUUGUAGAGGAUGAUUUGGGGAAGCCGCCUGUCUAAGUUCCUUGGAACAGGACGUCAUAGAGGGUGAGAAUCCCGUAUGUGACAGGAAAUGGCACCCUAUGUAAAUCUCCUUCGACGAGUCGAGUUGUUUGGGAAUGCAGCUCUAAAUGGGAGGUAAAUUUCUUCUAAAGCUAAAUAUUGGCGAGAGACCGAUAGCGCACAAGUAGAGUGAUCGAAAGAUGAAAAGCACUUUGGAAAGAGAGUUAAAAAGCACGUGAAAUUGUUGAAAGGGAAGCGCUUGCAAUCAGACUUGUUUAAACUGUUCGGCCGGUCUUCUGACCGGUUUACUCAGUUUGGACAGGCCAGCAUCAGUUUCGGCGGCCGGAUAAAGGCUCUGGGAAUGUGGCCUCCACUUCGGUGGAGGUGUUAUAGCCCAGG